Molecule: long non-coding RNA, 887 nt
Organism: Drosophila miranda
Lineage: Eukaryota; Metazoa; Arthropoda; Insecta; Diptera; Drosophilidae
Exons: 2
Source: RefSeq, a predicted model, not a curated record
UAAUAGAAGGCAGAAUGAUUAUUGUUCCCCCAUUUGAUUUUUGCAGACGAAGGGACAAAACUUUGCCUGUCGUCUGGCUAUGCCCGGUUCCUGUCGUUUCCAUCCAGCCGCCUAGGGCUCCAAACGGUAGGAAUGCCAGCGGAAAUGCCAAGCGGUAGCGACGACUAAUUGGCAGAGAGUUUAUCCAUACUGAAUGGCAUGAGUUGAGCGGGGUAAAGCGAGGGAAUACAGCGCUAAACGUAGGUGCAAAAUGAAACGGCAAAAAUAGAUUGACCGUGCAAAAACAAGUGAACUGAUAUAAUGGAGAAGAGAGAGAGAGAGCGAUACAGAUCGAGAGUUAGAACGCGUAAGGGAGACGAGUGCGGCGUUCACUGAAUCGGUUAAGAGUACCGCAAGCCCAGUUUUGAAAAGCAGCACGUGACCAUAUGGUCAUGGACGUCGGACUCGGUUCGAUCGGCGAUUAUUUCAGCUAGACCUGGCAGACAAGCCAACAGAGAGCGCUGCAAAAGACAAAAGCGAGACUGAGGAGAGAGACUGGCCAACAGGUGAGCGAGUUAAUUUGCCAGCAAGACAAAUUGAAGGCGAUUGUGAAAAAGCUUUGCUUUGUGUCUGUGUGCGUGCUAAAUAGUUGGGUGAGCAAGAUAGCAGACAAGCGGCGGCAAAUGCUUGGAAACAGAUCAGAAUGCUUUUUGCAGUGGACACCGGCUAAAGAAGACCCCGGCAUUAUGUAUAACGAAGAUGUUACGAGAACAUUAAAUAGUCUGAUAAGAACUUAGCCGGAAGGAGAUCCGAAAUGUAAUUUCUUCUGAACAAUGAAUUUUAAAGAAGAGUAAAGACUUUAGCUUUUUUCUAAAAACACCUCAAUUAAAACACAUUUCUCAUAUCGA